GCACAAGUGUGAGCUUGACAGAGGACUGCAACCUCUUUCUAACACUUAUUUGGCCUUAUGAAAAACUUCUAUACUAUACAGCAGAGACACAUAUAUGGUAUAAUAGGUAAAUGGGGAUGCCCGACAGAUGAGGAUGAAAAUCCAGACGAACCACCUGAUCAAUUAGAGAUAUAGACACAAAGAUGGCUGAUCAGGUCAGGACUAUGAGAGAAAGAGUAGAUGAAUGCUGUACUAAAUGUGCUGAGCCAAAUGUCUGUAUUAGCCACUUGCUUCUCCGCCUUGUUGCUAUCGUAACUCCACAUAAAUGAUCACCCUGUUUGAGAAAGCCGCUGCCAGUUCAUUAGCUGGUGAGAUUGUGGAUGCCUUUGCAAGUAAGAUGAACUGGUCCCAAUACCAUUAUCAUCACCAACAUAUUGGUCCGAAUAGUUACUACUUGAGGGAGACCAUGUAGGCACUACACCCCCAUCCCUUUCUCUAGUACUACUGGAAGAUUCUGCUGUUGAAUCUUCAGAAUUCCUCCUACCUACCGCAAAAUUAAAAUGUGGGGUAGCAUUGGUUCGAGCAGUUUGCAUGACGGCUUGGUCACGCGUGUCUCUCCUAUGAACUUCAGCUACAUUGAUGUCUGUUGGAACUUCUGCCCUACUUUCCACAACUGAAUUCCUAAUGUCCACGGAGUUCUCUUCAUCUUCAGCUCUGAACAAAGAUGACGUCAUGCUUGGCACCAUUUGAUCUUCAUAGCGUCGAACAGUAACUAUUACAGGGUUGUUCCUGACUGGUUCAUGGUCCAUUUCCAUAUGCAUGGCCUGAGGAAAUGCUAUUGGGGAGUCAGCAGAGUCACCAUGUCCUUCUUCCAUACCAUUCUCAAUCGCAGCUCUUGCAGCUGCAUCAUUCUGCCACAUUUGUGAUAGGGCUUGUUCUAGUCUAACUUUUGCUGAAUCAAUUUCAACUAUAGGAAGAGGAUAAUUGGAAGAAGGACAUGGUGACU
RNAcentral lists this unclassified non-coding RNA (985 nucleotides) under Hevea brasiliensis (rubber tree). The record is from RNAcentral. Lineage: Eukaryota; Viridiplantae; Streptophyta; Magnoliopsida; Malpighiales; Euphorbiaceae.